CUCUCCGGGACAGAUGCCCUAGGCCACCACUCAGCCUGGUGCCUCUGCUCACCCUGUCCUGAGGACAGGUAAGAGACUAAAAUAUAAAAUAAAAAGAACUUAGAGUCUACAUUUUCAAGGACAAGUUUUGUCACAUAGGUUUCUAUAACAACAAAAAUGGGUAUACAGAACCCAGUCUGCCGGCCUCAUCGAGGUCCAGAGGAGUCCACGUUUGUAAUCCCAGGGAAAAGUUACUGGAAUUCCAAUUGCUGGCACCUGCGGAGCCGCAGAGCACGGCGGUGGGAGCUGACUCCCUCCCUGCCAUUUGGUGGCUGCCUUUGGCUCACUGGUGAGGAUACUUUGUGGAUUCUUCUGCGCUGAUGUGAGAUACAACUUUGGAGUCAGCUCUGCGUAUAUGAAGAUGGGGGUCCAGUACAUGAGCCGUCAGCCACAUAUGGCUUUUGAGGGCUUGAAAUAUGACAAAUAAAAGCAAG
RNAcentral lists this long non-coding RNA (473 nucleotides) under Chinchilla lanigera (long-tailed chinchilla). RNAcentral describes it as "lncRNA (ENSCLAG00000022739.1)". Lineage: Eukaryota; Metazoa; Chordata; Mammalia; Rodentia; Chinchillidae. The record is from RNAcentral.